UAAAUAGCUAAAUUUUAAGUUUAUUAUUUACAAUAAUAAGAUGUUUUAAAUAACUUUAUUUA
RNAcentral lists this transfer RNA (62 nucleotides) under Eucallipterus tiliae. RNAcentral's name for it is "tRNA-Val". Lineage: Eukaryota; Metazoa; Arthropoda; Insecta; Hemiptera; Aphididae. The record is from RNAcentral.